AAUUGUGGACAAUGGGGGCAACCCUGAUCGAGCCAUCCCGCGUGUGCGAUGAAGGCCUUCGGGUUGUAAAGCACUCGUGGCAGGGCAGAAAGGGCGCUGGCUAAUACCUGGAGCUACUGACGGUAGCUGCAGAAUAAGCACCGGCUAACUACGUGCGAGCAGCCGCGGUAAUACGUAGGGUGCAAGCGUUAAUCGGAAUUACUGGGCGUAAAGCGUGCGCAGGCGGUUUGGUAAGAAGGGUGUGAAAUCCCAGGGCUUAACAUUGGAACUGCAUUCUUAACUGCCAGGCUAAAGUCUGUCAGAGGGGGGUAGAAUUCCACGUGUAGCAGUGAAAUGCGUAGAGAUGUGAAGGAAUACCGAUGGCGAAAGCAGCCCCCUGGGAUAAUACUAACGCUCAUGCACGAAAGCGUGGGGAGCAAACAGG
RNAcentral lists this ribosomal RNA (424 nucleotides) under uncultured bacterium. RNAcentral describes it as "partial 16S ribosomal RNA". It matches the Rfam family "Bacterial small subunit ribosomal RNA", at positions 360 to 776 of the family's 1533-position model. The record is from RNAcentral.